Non-coding RNA from Triticum urartu, 83 nucleotides. The record is from Rfam. Lineage: Eukaryota; Viridiplantae; Streptophyta; Magnoliopsida; Poales; Poaceae.
AUACCCAUAAUGAUUAGCUGCAUGUUGGAAUUACCGCUAGAUUUUGAAGUGAUGACAAUUUAUGCUGCUUUCUGAGGUUUUAA